Molecule: RNA transcript, 3096 nt
Organism: Peromyscus leucopus (white-footed mouse)
Lineage: Eukaryota; Metazoa; Chordata; Mammalia; Rodentia; Cricetidae
Gene: Tvp23a
Gene name: trans-golgi network vesicle protein 23 homolog A
Exons: 9
Source: RefSeq, a predicted model, not a curated record
CACACACACACCUGCCACCAUCCCUCACUGUCCUCUCUGCCACAGCUCUCUGCUCUCAGCUUCCCUGGGGAUGCUCUCUGGUCCAGCCCCAGCCCGAGACUGCGCACUGCGCAGAGCCCCUCCCCCCACAGACAACCAAAGCAAAGCUGCGGAGCCUCAGCUCCUAUCGUCCCACCCGGCUGCUUGCUGGGCAUCCUAAACCUUGGGCGGUGAAGGGCGGAGCUGGAGCCUGCGCUGUAGGGUCCAGUGGUACCCAGGAGAAUGAAGCAGGCCCUCGUGGAUGAUACCGAGGAUGUGUCCUUGGACUUCGGCAAUGAAGAGGAGCUGGCGUUUAGGAAGGCCAAGAUCAGGCACCCCCUGGCCACCUUCUUCCACCUGUUCUUCCGUGUGAGUGCCAUCGUCACCUAUGUGUGCUGUGACUGGUUCAGCAGGAGCUUCGUGGGCUGCUUCGUUACGGUGCUCCUCCUUCUGUCCUUUGACUUCUGGUCUGUGAAGAAUGUAACUGGAAGACUCAUGGUGGGUCUUCGAUGGUGGAACCAGAUAGACGAAGACGGGAAAAGCCACUGGAUAUUUGAAGCCAGAAAGGUCUCUCCAAGCCACAUGGCCGCCACUGAGGCAGAGGCGCGCAUCUUCUGGCUUGGUCUCAUCAUCUGCCCAGUGAUCUGGAUUGUGUUCUUCUUCAGCACCUUGUUCUCCUUGAAGCUGAAGUGGCUGGCUCUUGUGAUCGCUGGGAUUUCCCUCCAAGCUGCCAACCUCUAUGGCUACAUCCUCUGUAAGAUGGGGGGCGAGGGUGACAUCGGUACAGUUGCGGCCAGCUUUCUGUCCCAGACGGUGUUCCAGAUGGCAUCCCCAGGUGACGUUCAGAAGCCCAGGAUUGAAGGACUGGACAUCCACCAGCAUUAGCCUUAGGUGGCCACGGUGAGAUCUACAAGAGGCCAAGUCUGGCCUGUGCCUCAAUGACAGGUUAACGAAGCUAAAACAAACACCAUCUCCUCAGGUGUCCUAACUAGAUGAGCAGAGACCUCACAAUCCGGUCUUGGAGGGUCCUGGCUCAAACGCUGAGCUUUCCAAGCCACUUCACAUGAAGGCUUCUCCCUCGGUCUUGCCUAUCCGAGCUGCUGGCCUUUGAAAUGAGUUUGAGGGUUUAAGGCUCCUCCAGCUGGGGUGUCUACAAACCCAGGGAAGGGCCUCAGGUGCUUCCUCACAGGCCCUGAACUGACAGUACUGAUGCUGCUCACCUCUCAUCCAUGGUGCCCAAGAUCAUCCAUGGUACUUUGCAGGAGUUGGACAUGUGCAAUGGAAGCUGGUAUGGGAUCCUCCUAGGCCCUUGGCCUGGACUACAAAAUCUCCUUCAUUUACAUACAUCUUCCUUCCUCUGCCUGAUGUCGGGACUCAACUCCAUUUCUACUGUCUUUACCCUAGGUCUUUUCCAAACAAGAUGACAAACAGCAGCUUGGAACAGUCUAGUGCCAGGCCUCUACUGGGUCACAGAAGGCAGCCUGAGGGCUGGAGAAACUGCGUUCCUGAUGCUCAUCAACAAGCUCCAUCCAGGGUGACCACAUGCGUCUACACUGUGCACGGCAGAUGGCCCAGCAGUCACUGCCAGGACGCCGCCCCGAGAAUGCAGGCUUCCCUACAGCCUGCUUCCAGUUCUGAGAUGGGGCUCACUCUGUAGCACAGGCUGGCCUGGAACUCUUGGCAGUCCUCUCAAAUGCCAAGGCUACAGGUGUGAGUCAGCACACCCAGCUCACCUGUUUUGUUUUGUUUUUUUUUUUUUUUAAUAACUCUAACUGCAUAAAGAAAUACAGCCUGCCAGGUCCUGUCUCCACACUGAACUGCAUACUGGAAGGUCUUGACAGGUGUGUAGCAAGACACACUUGUAUGGAGGACAGGCACGUGAACUUAGCUCCUCAUGCCUGGCUGGGGCAGAGGCUGUGGUAGACACUCUAAGAAUAUUCCCAACAGCUCUAGAGCCAAAACUUAUUCUGGCCAAUACAGGUCAACUUUUGUUGUUAGAAUUUUUUUUUUUUUUUUGUGGGAGGCAGGGACUGAUUCUCAAACAUAUGCUCCACCACUGUACUGCAGUCCCCACCCCUUGUGGAAAAUGCAAUGUGAUCAAAAAGACUGCACUGUACUAGGCAAUGGAAAUUUGACCCUCUGGUGGCAAGAGACUGUCCCCUAACAGAACAUUUAACCUGCUCUGGCCUGUGGCUUGGGUAGGUUGCUCUCAAAGCAAUCACCCUCUGAAUUUCAGUUAGCAAAGUGCAGCCAUGAUGAGGACGGCUGUCGGGGACAUUUCCAGGACACUGUGCGGGAGGAGCAGGACUUGCACUUUAACUGCUCCCUCUCGCCCAGGCCUCUGAGCCCCAUCUCACAGACCAGAAAAUGGAGGCAGAGUCUGGUAACCGGCCUGGGCAUCAGCAGUGAUGUGGGUAGAGCUGGGAUAUGAAGUUGCGCUGCCCUUGGCUGGCACCACCCUUUAUUAAAGCUGGUACUGCUGCAGAGUGCUGGGGAUCUGAGUUAGUUUUGUCUGCUCUGAGACAGGGUCUCACUCUGUAGACAUGGCUGGCCUUGAAUUCAGACAUCCUCCUGCCCCCAGGCUCCAACAUACUGGGAUUUACAAGCAUGUGUCACAUGGGUCUGGUGAGGUGAUUCCAAUUUCAUGUCUGUACACUUGAGAUGAAUGACCUAGCACAAGGGUCAUUUCUAUAAGAGGCAACAGAAAAUGUUUCCUGCUUUAUGGACAAAAACAAGAAUAAUGUAUAGGUGUUUGUGUGACUUGGGAAGUAACCAUUUAAAUAUGUAAAUACCAUUCUUCACUCACAGGAGAUGGACCAAACUGUAGUUCAGGAUCUGGACUUCAAGAAGACAGAAAGAGCUUUAUGAGGGGCAGGUAGAAGGGGCCCCAGUGAAACGUGACAAUCAGCUGCCCUCUUGGUUAGAGAACCCAGUGAAACACCUUAGCCAGUGGCCAGGCAGCUCCUCAUUCUCUCUCAGGGUCAAGACAGUCAGAGAGGUUGGUUCCCUGGAGACUCAGAAUCACCCCCUAGAGCCAUCAGGGGCUCUGACACAAGAGCACCUCCCAGCACAGCCCAG